This 395-nucleotide ribosomal RNA is filed under the name uncultured bacterium. RNAcentral describes it as "bacterial SSU rRNA". It matches the Rfam family "Bacterial small subunit ribosomal RNA", at positions 29 to 430 of the family's 1533-position model. The record is from RNAcentral.
AUUGAACGCUGGCGGCAUGCCUUACACAUGCAAGUCGAACGGUAACGCGGGGCAACCUGGCGACGAGUGGCGAACGGGUGAGUAAUGCAUCGGAACGUGCCCAGUAGUGGGGGAUAGCCCGGCGAAAGCCGGAUUAAUACCGCAUACGACCUACGGGUGAAAGCGGGGGACCGUAAGGCCUCGCGCUGUUGGAGCGGCCGAUGUCAGAUUAGGUAGUUGGUGGGGUAAAGGCCUACCAAGCCUUCGAUCUGUAGCUGGUCUGAGAGGACGACCAGCCACACUGGGACUGAGACACGGCCCAGACUCCUACGGGAGGCAGCAGUGGGGAAUUUUGGACAAUGGGCGCAAGCCUGAUCCAGCCAUGCCGCGUGCGGGAAGAAGGCCUCGGUGUAACG